GACGAACGCUAGCGGCGUGCUUAACACAUGCAAGUCGAGCGGUAAGGCCCUUCGGGGUACACGAGCGGCGAACGGGUGAGUAACACGUGGGUGAUCUGCCUUGCACUUCGGGAUAAGCCUGGGAAACCGGGUCUAAUACCGGAUACGACCUGAGGUUGCAUGACUUCAGGUGGAAAGAUUUAUCGGUGCGAGAUGGGCCCGCGGCCUAUCAGCUUGUUGGUGAGGUAACGGCUCACCAAGGCGACGACGGGUAGCCGACCUGAGAGGGUGACCGGCCACACUGGGACUGAGAUACGGCCCAGACUCCUACGGGAGGUAGCAGUGGGGAACAUUGCACAAUGGGCGAAAGCCUGAUGCAGCGACGCCGCGUGCGGGAUGACGGCCUUCGGGUUGUAAACCGCUUUUGACAGGGACGAAGCGCAAGUGACUGUACCUGUAGAAUAAGGACCGGCCAACUACGUG
This 462-nucleotide ribosomal RNA is filed under the name uncultured bacterium. RNAcentral's name for it is "bacterial SSU rRNA". It matches the Rfam family "Bacterial small subunit ribosomal RNA", at positions 28 to 507 of the family's 1533-position model. The record is from RNAcentral.